AUGGGUUUAUCAGGGGUUUCCGCUUUUGCUUCCUUUCUCAUUUUCUCUUGCUGCUGUGUUUUAAGAAGUGCCUUUCUCCUCCCACCAGGAUUCUGUGGACUCCCCCCCAGCCAUGUGGAACUGGACAUGGAUGAAUCUGGAGAACAUCAUUCUCAGCCAACUGACACAAGAACAGAAAAUGAAAUACCACAUAUUCUCACUCAUAGGCAGGUGAUGAAAAAUGAGGACACAUGGACACAGGGAGGGGAGUACUAAACACUGGGGUCUAUUGGGGGGAAAAAUGGGAGGGCCAGCGGGGGGGUUGGAGCUGGGGAGGGAUAGCCUGGGGAGAAAUGCCAAAUGUAGGUGAAGGGGAGAAAGGAAGCAAAACACACUGCCAUAUGUGUACCUAUGCAACUGUCUUGCAUGUUCUGCACAUGUACCCCAAAACCUAAAAUGCAAUAAAAAAUUUUAAAAAAAGGAACAUUUUUAACAUUAGGAUUUCCAGAUUAUAGUUUGUGAGUUUGUGGGUGUUUUUUGUUUUGAGGGUUUUUUUUUCUCACCAAUUAUUGAUGACUUGCAACAUGUAGCCAUUUCUAAUCACUCUUUGUAAUUUGUCAGAAAGAACCCUUAUAGAAUUACAGAGUAGGUGCAAUGAGAGAUUUAGAGGUUGUUUUAUCUUGUCUUGUGCACUUUAACACAUCUGUUCUUCAGGUACUGCUAACACUUCAGACUUGCAAUCAUAUUUAUAGCUAUGCUACUUCCCUUAAGAUUGGCUUUGAGGUCUUGGAGAAGAAUGGUGCAUGAAUGAAGUGACAGGGAGAACAGGUAGGAGAAAACCAGCUGUGCACAUUAAUUUUUUAGGGUCGCUCUGAAAGAGACCAAUGAAUAGACAGGAGCUUUUAUUAUUUAACAUGUAAGUAAUAUGUAGAAAGCAUGGUUGGUAGGUGUGUAAGAUUCUUCACGUGAUUUGUUCAUGGGAAUAAAUCCAUCAGUAUGCAAAAUAUUGUGGAGACAGACUGCUUUCAUAGAGUGACAAAAAAUUAUCCGUGAGACUGAUAAUAUUGUCAUAAGAAACACACUGACUUUUAUACGGUUUUAUAUGCAUAUGCAUAUUUGAAACAUUUUUAUGAGUGAUUUUUAUUUGUAAUAUGUAUCUAAUUUUCAACAUUAGGACUAUUUUAAAUUUCAAAAUUUAAAAAUUUUUCAUAAUAUGGUUAUUGUGCAAAAAAAUCACUAAAUAUCAAAUGUUAACUAAGUAAUGGAAAUAAGAAUGUGGACCACUAAAAAUUAAGAAAUUGCAAACACUUUAUAAAUGUUGACAUAACAGAUUUACCACUAUGAGAAACAAGGUAACAGUAAUAAAAAGGCAGGCUCCUGAAAUUAUCCUAAGUAUGACUCCUGAGCCUUUUUCUUAAGAGCUUGUGAUGCCUGGGCUGAGUGUGGUGGCUCACAUGUGUAAUCCCAGAACUUUGGGAGGCUGAGGUGAGUGGAUCAUCUGCAGUUCGGAGUUCAAAACCAACCUGACCAAUGUGGUGAAUCCUGACUCUGCUAAAAAAUACCAAAAAAAUGGCCAUGCACCAUGGCUCAUGCCUGUAAUCCCAGCACUUUGGGAGGUCGAUGGGGCCGAUCACCUGAGGUUGAGAGUUUGAGACCAGCCUGAUCAACAUAGAGAAAUCCUGUCUCUACUAAAAGUACAAAACUAGCUGGACAUGUUGAUGCAUGCCUGUAAAUCCCUCCUACUCAGGAGGUUGGGGCAGGAGAAUCGCUUGACCAGAAGAUGGAGGUUGCAGUGAGCUGAGAUCACACCAUUGCACUGCAGCCUGGGUGACAGAGCAAGACUCUGUCUCAGAAAAAAGAAAUACAAAAAAUUAGCUGGGUGUGGUAGCACACACCUGUAGUCCCAGGCUACCUGGGAGGCUGAGGUAGGAGAAUAGGUUGAACCUGGGAGACAGAGGUUGCAGUGAGCUGAGGUCAUGCCACUGUACUCCAGUUACCAAGUGAGACUGUGUCAAAUAGGAAAGGGAAGGGAAAGGGAGGGGAAGAGGAGGAAAGGGGGAGAGAGGGGGAGGGGGGAAAAGGGGCAGGAGGAGGGGGGAAGGGAAUGGAAAAGGAAAGGAAAGGAAGAAGGAAGGCGGGAAGGAAGGAGGAAAGGAGGGAAGGAAGGAGGGAGGGAGGGAGAGCGGGAGGGAAAUAAACUUGUGAGUAGGGGCAAAUAGCAGCUUACCUAUCUUAACCUGAGUUUUCUCUGCAGCAAAGUGAGAAUAAUAACAUCCAUAUUGCAGGAUUUUAUGUGCAUUAAAUGGGAUCAAUUAUACUAAUAUUUAGAGAAUUGUCUUGUACAUGUACACACAUGUUAGAUGUUAUUAUCAUUAUCAAUAUUGACAGAUAUAAGGUAUGAGGUGGCCUAUCUUAGAAACAUUUGUAUAUGUAUCAGGUUGGUACAAAAGUAAUCAUGGUUUUUCAUUGCUUUUGAUGGCCAAAACCACAAUUACUAUUGCACCAACCUAAUAACAUGUUGCCAACUUAGAUAUGCCCAGAUCAAUAUAAUUAACAUAUAUACAGUGCUUUCCUGAGGCUUAUGGUCAAUACAGUUCUAGCUGAAGCUUCUUUCCUGAGCUCCAUAUGCAUAUAACCAUCUAUCUGAUAGGCUCUUUCUUGCAUGUCUCAGGCAUUUCUUUAUAGCAGUGCAAGAACUAUUAGGCUAUUGCUAUAAAGAAAUAUCUGGCCAGGCACGGUGGCUCAUGCCUCUAAUUCAGCACUUUGGGAGGCCGGAGCAGGUGGAUCAUGAGGUCAAGAGAUUGAGACCAACCUGGCCAACAUGGUGAAACCAUGUCUCUACUGAAAAAAAAAAAAAAAAAAAAAAAAAAUAUAUAUAUAUAUAUAUAUAUAUAUAUAUAUAUAUAUAUAUAUAUACAAAAAAUUAGCUGGGCAUGGUGAUGUGUGCCUGUAGUCCCAGCUACUGGGAAGGAUGAGGUAGGAGAACCGCUUGAACCUGGGAGGUGGAGGAUGCAGUGAGAGUGGAGAUCAAGCCACUGUACUCCAGCCUGGUGACAGAGAGAGACUCUGUCUGAAAAGAAAGAAAGAGAGAGAGAGAGAGAGAGAGAGAGAGGAAGGAAGGAAGGAAGGAAGGAAGGAAGGAAGGAAGGAAGGAAGGAAGGAAGGAAGGAAGACCUGAGACUGGGUAAUUUAUAAAUAAAAGAGGGUUUAAUUGGUUUACAGUUCUGCAGACUACACAGAAAGUAUGGUGCCCGCAUCUGCUUCUGGGGAGGCCUCAGGGAGCUUUUACUCAUGCUGGAAAGCAAAGUGGGAGCUUACACGACACAUGAUCAAAUCAGGACCAAAGAGAGAGAUUUGGGGAGGUGCCACACACUUUGACAACCAGAUCUCAUGAGAACUCACUCACGACUGUGAGGACAGCUUGAAGCCGUAAGGGAUCUGCUCCUAUGACCCAGGCAUCCCCACCAGGUCCUAUCUCCAACACUGGGGAUUACAUCCCAACAAGAGAUUUGGAGGAGACAUCCAGAAUAAAUCAGCCUCUGUCUCUACUUAUCAUUUUCAUAUAAAAUCUUUACCCUUCAAGUACCAUCAUAAAUAUAUGCAUCGUCUAAGCCAAGACAUUUAGUAAUUAUCCCACAUUCUUGAGUUUCUUCCUUUCACCCAUUAACCAAUCAAAUUCUGUUCAUUCUGUUUCAAAAUUGUUCUCUUUUGAUUUUUGUUCAUCAUCUCUACCAUUAAUAACUCUACCCUAUUUCAAUCAUUUCUUUCUUUUCCUAUUUCUUUCUCUUUCACCAUUCCUCCUUUCCCUUCCUUUUUUUUAUUUUUCUUAUCCCUAAUAGCUGAGAAAGACCUAGCCUGAUUCACUUUUGGGGGAAGAUCUGCGUUGUAUUAAUUAGUUCCACUGAGAAGCCCAAUCCCUGAAAAUAUUUUAUGUCUAUGUAUUUUUAAAAUCCCCACAUGAAAGUUUGUUUGUGCAUCACCACAGUCAAAAUGCAGAAUUUCUAACUGCAAAGAUCUCUCCAAUUGUGCUAACAUAGCCAUACCUGAAGUAGGUGUGGCUAUGGCCCUUUCCCCACCUUCAACCCUGACUUCCCUAAACCCUUAACAAGCAUUAAUCUGUUUUUCAUUUUAGCUGUCUGGUCAUUUCAAUUUAUUAUAUAAAAGUGUGCAGCCUUUAGGAACUUCCCUUUUGCACUCUGCAUAAGUGUUCCAAUUCUGGCACUGCUAAUUUCUUAUAACUUUGAAUCAAUUAAAUUAAACAUUCUGUAUCUCUGUGUCCUCAUUUGAAAAUUGAAAUCAUAUUGGCAUAAAAACUCAAUAAACUAUAAAUAAAAAUAAAGGAGAUAAUAAAAGUAAAAGUUCUAGCAUUCUGAAAAGCACUUAGUCAUUCCUCAAUAAAAGUGAAGAUAUAAAUUAUCUAGAGAAUCUUUGCCAAUUAAAACAUCUUUAACACUGGUUUAGUCUUAAGUGUCCAUAUUAUAUUCUAAUUCUAUUCAAAUUGAUAAUCCAAGAAAAGUUUAAGUGAAAAAUGUUUUGAGCAUCAGGAUACUUGAUUAAUUGAAAGGUUUUAUGCACCAGUCUCCUGAAGUGAUAGUACACCAUAUGUCAAAGGAUUUAUUGUUUCAUGCCCAAGUUAGUGCUGUAAUUAUAUUUUUACAAAAGUUAGUUCUAUCACUUUGGAGUGUGAAUAAAGAUGGAGAUGAAGACAACGGUGAGAAAAUGCUUGCAGUUUCUUGCUAGUGAUAGAUCCACACAGUUUUUAUAUUGAAGUAAAAUAUUUUUAAAUCCUUAUCAAAUGAAGGUAAGCAUGAUUUACAGCCUGCUUCAAGAGAGCUGUCAUCUUUUGACAAGUGGAGAAUGAAAUAAACAGUAUAUAAGGCCUCAAAAAUUUAAUAAUGCCUUAAUUAUCUGCAGGAAAUGAUUUUAAGGGCCAUGAAUUAAAAAAUAAGUUAGAGUAAGACUAAAGUUACCUCGAAUAUUUAUUGAGUUUCAGUUCAUCCUCUGUAUAUUUUGA
This 4993-nucleotide long non-coding RNA is filed under the name Callithrix jacchus (white-tufted-ear marmoset). RNAcentral's name for it is "lncRNA (ENSCJAG00000077027.1)". Lineage: Eukaryota; Metazoa; Chordata; Mammalia; Primates; Cebidae. The record is from RNAcentral.